UGGGGAAUAUUGGGCAAUGGGCGCAAGCCUGACCCAGCAACGCCGCGUGAGGGAAGAAGGCUUUCGGGUUGUAAACCUCUGUCCUUGGUGACGAAAAAAAUGACGGUAGCCAAGGAGGAAGCCCCGGCUAACUACGUGCCAGCAGCCGCGGUAAUACGUAGGGGGCGAGCGUUGUCCGGAAUUACUGGGCGUAAAGGGUGCGUAGGUGGCCUUUUAAGUUGGAUGUGAAAUCCCCGGGCUUAACUUGGGUGGUGCAGUGAAUACUGGAAGGCUAGAGUGCAGGAGAGGGAAGCGGAAUUCCUAGUGUAGCGGUGAAAUGCGUAGAUAUUAGGAGGAACACCAGUGGCGAAGGCGGCUUUCUGGACUGUAACUGACACUGAGGCACGAAAGCGUGGGGAGCAAACA
Molecule: ribosomal RNA, 405 nt
Filed under: uncultured prokaryote
Description: bacterial SSU rRNA
Rfam family: Bacterial small subunit ribosomal RNA
Source: RNAcentral